UUUUUAUUUCCUUGUAGCGGUCUUCUGUUAGGGUGUUCUGUCAUUUGUUUGGUUAGUCUCCCCCGAGGGACACAUAUUACACACUGAACUUGAACUUUUCCAUUUAUGGGGUGUUUUCUGAUCAGGUGUCAGUUUCUUGUCUCCAUGACACAGUAUGGAGAUGCUGCCUGGACCAUGGUUUGCGGGUGGAGGCCUGGCAGAGGGCAGUGGGUUCACUUGUGCUGGCUGGUUAUCCUGGGUUGUUGGUUUUUUGGAGAUGGUUGAGGAAGCAGAUGAGUGAUGUCUUCAUUUUGCUCCGUGUUGCUUCUUUUUGUGGUAUCGGAUGUCGCUGUGAUGGGCUUGCUUUGGUUCCGAUAGCCACCAAAAAUGUGAUUGAUUUAACUAGGAAAAAAACUGUUAAUCCCAUUGUCAACUGGAAUGUAGAAGAGGUGGACUUUCGUGUCACUGGUUUCUUUGCUAUUCUGUAUGUCUGGAAUCAUUCUAACAAUGUGAUAAGCUAUGAAAACUACUUUUCAUACUCUGUGAUGGUAAGAACAAAUCAUACAAGUUUCAAUGGCUGUAAUACAGUGUUGGUUGGUAGGGAGUGGUCAGUGUGGGUUGCUGAGAAGGUUCUGGCAUUUGUUCUAUAGGAGACUGAAAAUGAGCAAUGGCGAGGGACACAAACAGGAACAUGCUUAUGACAACUUUAUUAGGGGAGAAAAAUUGAAAUGCAAAGGAUGCAGAUGGCUUACUUUGUGGCUUCUAAAUUUUUUACUUUAAGUUGCUCAGAUUAAUUUUUGAAAAAUUGGCCGAAUACUGAUUUUCAUCCAUUGUCCUUCUGUGAUGAAGAGUUCAAGGUUUUCGAGCAGUAGCAACACAAGGCAGUAGCUCCCUGAUUGCCCAGUGACCAGCUCAGUCAUACCUGGAGAAAUGUUAGAAGCUUCCCGGGGCUGGGGUUGUAGCUCAGUGGUGGAACCCUUGCCUGGGUCCUUUGAGGUUUUGAGGUUGGUUUUCAGCAUUUUAUAGUUGGAUGGACUUUUGAAUGAAUAAAUAAAUAGAGGUAUUGAGUUUAUCUCCAUUUUAUAGAGCUAUGGUAAUCGAACAGGAGGAGGAGGAGGAACAGCUGCUGCUUUCCAGGUCCCCGAGUCCUGGCCUUGAAGGAGAGUAUUAUGUAUUUCAUAGAAUCUCAGACACCAGGGCUUAGAAGACACACCUAUAUUUUGCGAACCACUAAGAAAAAUGUUCCAAUUAGAACUAUGAAAAUGCUUAUCAUUUGUACUUUUUUUUUUGUGUGUGUGUGUGUAGUUGUAGGUGGACAGCAUGCCUUUAUUUGUGUAUUUUUGUAUGUGGUGCUAAGGAUCGAACCCAGUGCCUCCCACGUGUAAGGCAAGUGCUCUGCCACUGAGCUAUAGCCCCAGCCCUGUACUUCUUUUUUAAAGAUUUUUUUUUUGGUAGUGGUAGAUGGACAGAAUGCCUUUAUUUUAAUGUGGUGCUAAGGAUCGAACCCAGUGCCUCACACAUGCCAGGAGAGUGUGCUAUCGCUGAGCCCCAGCCCCAGCCCACCAUUUAUACUUCUUAUAAAUUUAUUAGCUUUUAAACUUCUUCAGAUUUCUAUCUUAUCACACUUAAUUCAUAUACAAAAAGAAAAAGGCGAGAUUCAUAAAAUAUCACCUUCUGAGUCCAACAUUCUGAACUACUUUAUUUUUUUGAACUACUAUUUGACCCGUUGUUUUCAUUACUUGUUUCCCCAAGCAGUGCUGCCCUGUGUGUUGUGCUGAGUGUUGGUGAUAUAGCAUUCUGAAAAGUGUGUUCCACUGUUGGCUCCAGAAUUUUCCUCUAAGCUACUGAUAAGCAUUCUGCAAGUUUUGGUGCUGGGCUAUAUUGAUGUUACCAGAAGUCAGGUGAUAGCCACAUUCCAACUGCCACCUGCUGACAGUGAUUGUGAGAUGCAUGAGAUCCGGGGUAUUUUAUAAUCUGCACAGUACAAUAUGAUGGAGCAGGCAGCACCCUGCUUGAUUUCCCCCAGACCCAGUGUCACAUUAAAUCUUAAAUAAGGCUUCAUGACAUCCAGUCAGUUGGAAUGGAGCCCAUGAUUGGGCUACUUUGAAAAACUGAACAGAUCCCACUGUUGUCAUGAAUUCGAGCUGACUUUGUUGUUUGUGUGGGAGUUGGGGGACAUGCUUCCUCUUUUUGCCUAUGGUAC
RNAcentral lists this long non-coding RNA (2182 nucleotides) under Marmota monax (woodchuck). The record is from RNAcentral. Lineage: Eukaryota; Metazoa; Chordata; Mammalia; Rodentia; Sciuridae.